GAUGAACGCUGGCGGCGUGCCUAAUACAUGCAAGUCGAGCGAACAGACGAGGAGCUUGCUCCUCUGACGUUAGCGGCGGACGGGUGAGUAACACGUGGAUAACCUACCUAUAAGACUGGGAUAACUUCGGGAAACCGGAGCUAAUACCGGAUAAUAUAUUGAACCGCAUGGUUCAAUAGUGAAAGACGGUUUUGCUGUCACAUAUAGAUGGAUCCGCGCCUCAUUAGCUAGUUGGUAAGGUAACGGCUUACCAAGGCAACGAUGCGUAGCCGACCUGAGAGGGUGAUCGGCCACACUGGAACUGGGACACGGUCCAGACUCCUACGGGGGGCAGCGGUAGGGAAUCUUCCGCAAUGGGCGAAAGCCUAACGGGGCAACGCCGCGGGGGUGAGGAAGGUCUUCGGAUCUUAAAACUCUGUUAUUAGGGAAAAACGAAGUGGUAAGUAACUAUGCACGUCUUGACGGUACCUAAUCAGAAAGCCACGGCUAACUACGUG
Molecule: ribosomal RNA, 497 nt
Filed under: uncultured bacterium
Lineage: Bacteria
Description: partial 16S ribosomal RNA
Rfam family: Bacterial small subunit ribosomal RNA
Source: RNAcentral